RNAcentral lists this ribosomal RNA (117 nucleotides) under Esox lucius (northern pike). Lineage: Eukaryota; Metazoa; Chordata; Actinopteri; Esociformes; Esocidae. The record is from RNAcentral.
GCUUACGGCCAAACCUCCUGAGCACGCCCGAUCUCGUCUGAUCUCGGAAGCUAAGCAGGGUCGGCCCGGUUAGUACUUGGAUGGGAGACCGCCUGGGAAUACCAGGUGCUGUAAGCC